RNAcentral lists this small RNA (654 nucleotides) under Pongo abelii (Sumatran orangutan). Its description in RNAcentral is "retained intron". Lineage: Eukaryota; Metazoa; Chordata; Mammalia; Primates; Hominidae. The record is from RNAcentral.
GGCUACCCCGGCUACUCCUGCUCAGCAUGGCUGCUUUGGCGACUCUUCUCUUCAGUGAGUGGGUAUAGAUAGGGACCGUGGACUCGGGGGCCUGUUGGGGACGGGCACAGGACCCCUGAUCCGGCUGCGCGGCCUCUCCCCCAACUCUGCUCUGUUCUCCCAGCAGGUGUCCGGAGGCUGCACUGCAGCGCAGCCGCUUGGGCGGGCGGCCAGUGGCGACUACAGUGAGUGCUGGGAUGAGGGGACCUGGGGGACCAGAAGCUGGGCUAGGUCCUCACAGAUCUGUUUUUCUCCACACAGGCAGGGACUGGCUGCCAACCCCUCCGGCUACGGGCCCCUUACAGAGCUCCCAGACUGGUCAUAUGCGGGUAAGCGCUGAUCUGACAGUUAACUCCACAGGGGAGAUUUUCACCCAGAGGGAACGCCCCUGGACAGGGAGCUGGGGGUAUCAAGGUGGGGGCGUGUAAAAGUGUUUAACUUUUUAUUUGGAAAACGGAAUUUGGGGAAAGAAGCCCUCUUGUUUAUUUUGUAGACUGCAUUUCGACUAAAGAAGGUAAAGCUAAACAGGAUCUUGGCUUGUGGAGAUAAGCAGAAGAUAAUUCUGACUUGGGGCCGCCAGGGUGGAAGGGGGUGACAAGACUUCUGCGUUUUUCA